RNAcentral lists this ribosomal RNA (253 nucleotides) under uncultured bacterium. RNAcentral's name for it is "partial 16S ribosomal RNA". It matches the Rfam family "Bacterial small subunit ribosomal RNA", at positions 524 to 776 of the family's 1533-position model. The record is from RNAcentral.
UACGUAGGGUGCGAGCGUUGUCCGGAAUUAUUGGGCGUAAAGGGCUCGUAGGCGGUUUGUCGCGUCGAAAGUGAAAACUCAGGGCUUAACCCUGAGCCUGCUUCCGAUACGGGCAGACUAGAGGUAUGCAGGGGAGAACGGAAUUCCUGGUGUAGCGGUGAAAUGCGCAGAUAUCAGGAGGAACACCGGUGGCGAAGGCGGUUCUCUGGGCAUUACCUGACGCUGAGGAGCGAAAGUGUGGGGAGCAAACAGG